Molecule: ribosomal RNA, 460 nt
Filed under: uncultured bacterium
Lineage: Bacteria
Description: partial 16S ribosomal RNA
Rfam family: Bacterial small subunit ribosomal RNA
Source: RNAcentral
CCUACGGGUGGCAGCAGUGAGGAAUAUUGGUCAAUGGACGAGAGUCUGAACCAGCCAAGUAGCGUGAAGGAUGACUGCCCUAUGGGUUGUAAACUUCUUUUAUAAAGGAAUAAAACGAGGCACGUGUGCCUUUUUGCAUGUACUUUAUGCAUAAGGAUCGGCUAACUCCGUGCCAGCAGCCGCGGUAAUACGGAGGAUCCGAGCGUUAUCCGGAUUUAUUGGGUUUAAAGGGAGCGUAGAUGGGUUGUUAAGUCAGUUGUGAAAGUUUGCGGCUCAACCGUAAAAUUGCAAUUGAUACUGGCAGUCGUGAGUACAGUUGAGGUAGGCGGAAUUCGUGGUGUAGCGGUGAAAUGCUGAGAUAUCACGAAGAACCCCGAUUGCGAAGGCAGCUUACUAAACUGUGACUGACAUUGAUGCUCGAAAGUGUGGGUAUCAAACAGGAUUAGAUACCACAGUAGUC